AUUGAACGCUGGCGGCAUGCUUUACACAUGCAAGUCGAACGGUAACAGGCCUUCGGGUGCUGACGAGUGGCGAACGGGUGAGUAAUGCAUCGGAACGUGCCCAGAGGUGGGGGAUAACGCAGCGAAAGCUGUGCUAAUACCGCAUGUGAUCUGAGGAUGAAAGCGGGGGACCAGGCAGCAAUGUUUGGCCUCGCGCCUUUGGAGCGGCCGAUGUCAGAUUAGGUAGUUGGUGGGGUAAAGGCCUACCAAGCCGACGAUCUGUAGCUGGUCUGAGAGGACGACCAGCCGCACUGGGACUGAGACACGGCCCAGACUCCUACGGGAGGCAGCAGUGGGGAAUUUUGGACAAUGGGCGCAAGCCUGAUCCAGCAAUGCCGCGUGCGGGAAGAAGGCCUACGGGUUGUAAACCGCUUUUGUACGGAACGAAAAGGCUCUGGCUAAUACCUGGGGCUGAUGACGGUACCGGAAGAAUAAGCACCGGCUAACUACGUG
This 492-nucleotide ribosomal RNA is filed under the name uncultured bacterium. Its description in RNAcentral is "partial 16S ribosomal RNA". It matches the Rfam family "Bacterial small subunit ribosomal RNA", at positions 29 to 507 of the family's 1533-position model. The record is from RNAcentral.